RNAcentral lists this ribosomal RNA (398 nucleotides) under Apanteles sp. Rodriguez26. Its description in RNAcentral is "partial 28S ribosomal RNA". It matches the Rfam family "Eukaryotic large subunit ribosomal RNA", at positions 323 to 615 of the family's 3401-position model. Lineage: Eukaryota; Metazoa; Arthropoda; Insecta; Hymenoptera; Braconidae. The record is from RNAcentral.
UUGUUACGAGANCGAUAGCGAACAAGUACCGUGAGGNAAAGUUGAAAAGAACUUUGAAGAGAGAGUUCAAGAGUACGUGAAACCGUUCAGGGGUAAACCUGUGAAACCCAAAAGAUCGAAUGAGGAGAUUCAUCGUCAGCGUAAUCAGUAUUAAUGCAGGCUAUGAUGUGAUAAUAGAAUCCUCGUGGUCACUAGAUUAUACUUGCUUGUGUUAUUUUUGCUGGGUGUGUCGGCGUGCACUUCUCCUCUAGUAGAACGUCGCAACCCGUUGGAUGUUUAUCUAUGGCCUGAUUGGUAGCCUUUGAUAUAAUUUUAUAUUGGAGACCUUUUGGNGUCCUGAUAAACUGUCUGACGNNAUACAUUANANUAUUGNGCCNNNNNUNUUUGCGUUANACUUA